This 484-nucleotide ribosomal RNA is filed under the name uncultured bacterium. RNAcentral describes it as "partial 16S ribosomal RNA". It matches the Rfam family "Bacterial small subunit ribosomal RNA", at positions 30 to 507 of the family's 1533-position model. The record is from RNAcentral.
AUUGAACGCUGGCGGCAGGCUUAACACUUGCAAGUCGGGCGGAUGAAGGGUGCUUACUCCUGCAUUCAUCGGCGGACGGGUGAGUAAUGCCUAGGAAUCCGCCUGGUAGUGGGGGAUAACGUCCGGAAACCGGCGCUAAUACCGCAUCCGUACUCAGGGAGCAAGUGGGUGAUCUUCGGAACUCACGCUAUCCGAUGAGCCUAGGUCGGAUUAGCUAGUUGCUGGGGUAAAGGCCUACCAAGUCGACGAUCCGAAACUGAUCUCAGAGGAUGAUCAGCAACAGUAGAGCUGUGAGACGGUCCAUACUCCUACGGGAGGCAGCAGUGGGGAAUCUUGGACAAUGGUAGAAAGCCUGAUCCAGCCAUGCCGCGUUUGUUAAUAAAGUCAUAGGAUUGUAAAGCACUUUAAGUUGGGAGUAAGGGCAGUAAGUUAAAACCUAGCUAUUGGCACGAUACCAACACAUUCAGCACCGCCAAAACUCGUG